GACGAACGCUGACGGCGUGCCUAAUACAUGCAAGUAGAACGCUGAAGGAGGAGCUUGCUUCUCUGGAUGAGUUGCGAACGGGUGAGUAACGCGUAGGUAACCUGCCUGGUAGCGGGGGAUAACUAUUGGAAACGAUAGCUAAUACCGCAUAAUAGUAGAUGUUGCAUGACAUUUGCUUAAAAGGUGCAAUUGCAUCACUACCAGAUGGACCUGCGUUGUAUUAGCUAGUUGGUGGGGUAACGGCUCACCAAGGCGACGAUACAUAGCCGACCUGAGAGGGUGAUCGGCCACACUGGGACUGAGACACGGCCCAGACUCCUACGGGAGGCAGCAGUAGGGAAUCUUCGGCAAUGGACGGAAGUCUGACCGAGCAACGCCGCGUGAGUGAAGAAGGUUUUCGGAUCGUAAAGCUCUGUUGUAAGAGAAGAACGAGUGUGAGAGUGGAAAGUUCACACUGUGACGGUAUCUUACCAGAAAGGGACGGCUAACUACGUG
Molecule: ribosomal RNA, 495 nt
Filed under: uncultured bacterium
Lineage: Bacteria
Description: partial 16S ribosomal RNA
Rfam family: Bacterial small subunit ribosomal RNA
Source: RNAcentral